This 1707-nucleotide ribosomal RNA is filed under the name Salmonella enterica. RNAcentral describes it as "partial 23S ribosomal RNA". It matches the Rfam family "Bacterial large subunit ribosomal RNA", at positions 599 to 2290 of the family's 2925-position model. Lineage: Bacteria; Pseudomonadati; Pseudomonadota; Gammaproteobacteria; Enterobacterales; Enterobacteriaceae. The record is from RNAcentral.
GCGUACCUUUUGUAUAAUGGGUCAGCGACUUAUAUUCUGUAGCAAGGUUAACCGAAUAGGGGAGCCGGAGGGAAACCGAGUCUUAACCGGGCGUUAAGUUGCAGGGUAUAGACCCGAAACCCGGUGAUCUAGCCAUGGGCAGGUUGAAGGUUGGGUAACACUAACUGGAGGACCGAACCGACUAAUGUUGAAAAAUUAGCGGAUGACCUGUGGCUGGGGGUGAAAGGCCAAUCAAACCGGGAGAUAGCUGGUUCUCCCCGAAAGCUAUUUAGGUAGCGCCUCGUGAAUUCAUCUCCGGGGGUAGAGCACUGUUUCGGCUAGGGGGCCAUCCCGGCUUACCAACCCGAUGCAAACUGCGAAUACCGGAGAAUGUUAUCACGGGAGACACACGGCGGGUGCUAACGUCCGUCGUGAAGAGGGAAACAACCCAGACCGCCAGCUAAGGUCCCAAAGUCAUGGUUAAGUGGGAAACGAUGUGGGAAGGCCCAGACAGCCAGGAUGUUGGCUUAGAAGCAGCCAUCAUUUAAAGAAAGCGUAAUAGCUCACUGGUCGAGUCGGCCUGCGCGGAAGAUGUAACGGGGCUAAACCAUGCACCGAAGCUGCGGCAGCGACACUGUGUGUUGUUGGGUAGGGGAGCGUUCUGUAAGCCUGUGAAGGUGUGUCGUGAGGCAUGCUGGAGGUAUCAGAAGUGCGAAUGCUGACAUAAGUAACGAUAAAGCGGGUGAAAAGCCCGCUCGCCGGAAGACCAAGGGUUCCUGUCCAACGUUAAUCGGGGCAGGGUGAGUCGACCCCUAAGGCGAGGCCGAAAGGCGUAGUCGAUGGGAAACGGGUUAAUAUUCCCGUACUUGGUGUUACUGCGAAGGGGGGACGGAGAAGGCUAUGUUGGCCGGGCGACGGUUGUCCCGGUUUAAGCGUGUAGGUGUGUGUUCCAGGUAAAUCCGGUUCACUUUAACACUGAGGCGUGACGACGAGGCACUACGGUGCUGAAGCAACAAAUGCCCUGCUUCCAGGAAAAGCCUCUAAGCAUCAGGUAACAUCAAAUCGUACCCCAAACCGACACAGGUGGUCAGGUAGAGAAUACCAAGGCGCUUGAGAGAACUCGGGUGAAGGAACUAGGCAAAAUGGUGCCGUAACUUCGGGAGAAGGCACGCUGACACGUAGGUGAAGUGAUUUACUCAUGGAGCUGAAGUCAGUCGAAGAUACCAGCUGGCUGCAACUGUUUAUUAAAAACACAGCACUGUGCAAACACGAAAGUGGACGUAUACGGUGUGACGCCUGCCCGGUGCCGGAAGGUUAAUUGAUGGGGUCAGCGCAAGCGAAGCUCCUGAUCGAAGCCCCGGUAAACGGCGGCCGUAACUAUAACGGUCCUAAGGUAGCGAAAUUCCUUGUCGGGUAAGUUCCGACCUGCACGAAUGGCGUAAUGAUGGCCAGGCUGUCUCCACCCGAGACUCAGUGAAAUUGAACUCGCUGUGAAGAUGCAGUGUACCCGCGGCAAGACGGAAAGACCCCGUGAACCUUUACUAUAGCUUGACACUGAACAUUGAGCCUUGAUGUGUAGGAUAGGUGGGAGGCUUUGAAGUGUGGACGCCAGUCUGCAUGGAGCCGACCUUGAAAUACCACCCUUUAAUGUUUGAUGUUCUAACGUGGACCCGUUACCCGGGUUGCGGACAGUGUCUGGUGGGUAGUUUGACUGGGGCGGUCUCCUCC